Molecule: ribosomal RNA, 84 nt
Filed under: Crataegus macracantha
Lineage: Eukaryota; Viridiplantae; Streptophyta; Magnoliopsida; Rosales; Rosaceae
Description: partial 5.8S ribosomal RNA
Rfam family: 5.8S ribosomal RNA
About the family: 5.8S ribosomal RNA (5.8S rRNA) is a component of the large subunit of the eukaryotic ribosome. It is transcribed by RNA polymerase I as part of the 45S precursor that also contains 18S and 28S rRNA.
Source: RNAcentral
UGCAGAAUCCCGUGAACCAUCGAGUCUUUGAACGCAAGUUGCGCCCGAAGCCUUUAGGCCGAGGGCAGGCCUGCCUGGGCGUCA